RNAcentral lists this transfer-messenger RNA (352 nucleotides) under Acidimicrobiia. RNAcentral's name for it is "JAENVV01 sp016650365 Standard tmRNA". It matches the Rfam family "transfer-messenger RNA". From Rfam's summary of the family: Bacterial tmRNA, also known as 10Sa RNA or SsrA, is named for its dual tRNA and mRNA-like properties. Its role is to liberate the mRNA from a stalled ribosome. RNAcentral also lists the same sequence under 1 other name. The record is from RNAcentral. Lineage: Bacteria; Bacillati; Actinomycetota.
GGGGGUGAAACGGUUUCGACGUUGCAUGUUGAAGCGCUUGAAGCGAGCCGAGGUCUCCGGAGUCCUCGUUAAAGAACCGGAACACCAAUAGGUGCCGAAGAUAACUUCGCCCUGGCAGCCUAAAUAGGCUGCUCGUCUGACCGGAGGGUACCUACCUCGCCGGACCCAGACGUCGCAAUGUAGGACGCUCCCCGAGGGAUUCCGGGACUGAGGGGCUAAGACAAUUCCGGAUAGGUCAGAGGGAAACUUGCCAUCAGAGCCCCACUGGUCCGAAUGCUUGCUGUUGGCUGCGCUCGGAGAAGCGGCGCAGAUGGUGCAACGGACGGGGGUUCGACUCCCCCCACCUCCACUG